UAAAUAUUUGUAAUAAAAAUAAUUUUGAAAAAUUUUGUUUAGUAAUUUAUAGUAAAAAAAUAAUUUUAAUUAUAUGAUAUUAGUAUUGUAAAAGAAAAUUGAAAUAAUUUGAAAAAUUAAUUUAUAAAAAGAAAAUUUUAGUUAUUGUACCUUUUGUAUCAGGGUAUAUUUAAAAAAUUUUAUUGAAAUAUAAUUUUCUCGAUUUUAAAAGAGUUAAUAAAUUAGGAAAGUUACUGUAAUAAAAGUAUUUUUUAUAAUUUAUUAGAAAUGAAAUGUUAUUCGUUUUUAAUGGUAUCUAGUUUUUUUAGAAAUGAAUUUAAUUUAAAAAUUUAUAAAAAUUAUUUUAAUUUAUUAAUUUUGUUAAUUAUAAAUUUUAUUAUUAAAUGGGGUUAGCUAUUUAGUAAAUUUUUAAAAAUUAUUAAAUUUUAUUAAUAAAUAUAUGCUUAUAAUUGGCAAUUAUUAAAAAUUAUGUUAUAAUUGAUUUUAAAAAUUACAUGAUUUAAUAUAUUUUAAUUUAUUAUAAAAAUAUUUGUUUUAAUUUUAUAAAUUAAUUAAUAAUGAUAUAAUUAGUAUAUUUAUAUUUAUAAAUAAAUAUUUUAUGAAAAGUUUAUAUAAAGAAUUCGGCAAAAUUAAUGUUCACCUGUUUAACAAAAACAUGUCUUUUAGAAUUUAAUUUAAAGUCUAACCUGCCCACUGAAAUUUUGAAUGGCCGCAGUAUUUUAACUGUGCAAAGGUAGCAUAAUCAUUAGUCUUUUAAUUGGAGGCUGGAAUGAAUGGUUGGAUGAGAUAUUAACUGUUUCAUAAAAAUUUUAAAUUGAAUUUUAUUUUUUAGUUAAAAAGCUAAAAUUAAAUUAAAAGACGAGAAGACCCUAUAAAUCUUUAUAUAAGAUAAAUUUUAAGUAUUUUGAAAAAUUUAGUUAUAAUUUUAUAUGUAUAUUUUAUUGGGGUGAUAUUAAAAUUUAUUGAACUUUUAAUUUUUAAUUUACAUUAGUUAAUGAGUUUAUGAUCCAUAAAUUAUGAUUAAAAAAUUAAGUUACUUUAGGGAUAACAGCGUAAUUUUUUUAGAAAGUUCUUAUUGAUAAAAAAGAUUGCGACCUCGAUGUUGGAUUAAGAUAUAGUUUUAGGUGCAGUUGUUUAAACUUAAAGUCUGUUCGACUUUUAGAUUCUUACAUGAUCUGAGUUCAGACCGGCGUAAGCCAGGUUGGUUUCUAUCUUUAAUGGAGUUAUAUAUUUUAGUACGAAAGGACCAAUUAUAAAAAUUAUUAUAUUUUAAUUAUUGAUAAUAAAUAAUACUAUUUUGGCAGAUUAGUGCAA
Molecule: ribosomal RNA, 1314 nt
Filed under: Apocephalus antennatus
Lineage: Eukaryota; Metazoa; Arthropoda; Insecta; Diptera; Phoridae
Description: 16S ribosomal RNA
Rfam family: Archaeal large subunit ribosomal RNA (bases 1044-1203)
Source: RNAcentral